CCUANGGGGGGCAGCAGUGAGGAAUAUUGGUCAAUGGGCGAGAGCCUGAACCAGCCAUCCCGCGUGCAGGAAGACGGCCCUAUGGGUUGUAAACUGCUUUUUUAUGGGAAGAAAAAAGCCUACGAGUAGGUAACUGACGGUACCAUAAGAAUAAGCAUCGGCUAACUCCGUGCCAGCAGCCGCGGUAAUACGGAGGAUGCGAGCGUUAUCCGGAUUUAUUAGGUUUAAAGGGUGUGUAGGCGGAUGAUUAAGUCAGUGGUGAAAUCUCACAGCUUAACUGUGAAACUGCCAUUGAUACUGGUUAUCUUGAGUACAGUUGAAGUAGGCGGAAUGUGUAAUGUAGCGGUGAAAUGCUUAGAUAUUACACAGAACACCGAUUGCGAAGGCAGCUUACUAAGCUGUUACUGACGCUGAUGCACGAAAGCGUGGGGAGCGAACAGGAUUAGAUACCCCUNUANUC
Molecule: ribosomal RNA, 460 nt
Filed under: uncultured bacterium
Lineage: Bacteria
Description: bacterial SSU rRNA
Rfam family: Bacterial small subunit ribosomal RNA
Source: RNAcentral